This 488-nucleotide ribosomal RNA is filed under the name uncultured bacterium. RNAcentral's name for it is "bacterial SSU rRNA". It matches the Rfam family "Bacterial small subunit ribosomal RNA", at positions 355 to 859 of the family's 1533-position model. The record is from RNAcentral.
UGGGGAAUCUUGCACAAUGGGCGAAAGCCUGAUGCAGCAACGCCGCGUGCGGGAAGACAGCCCUAGGGUUGUAAACCGCUUUCAGCAGGGAAGAAACUGACGGUACCUGCAGAAGAAGAUGCGGCCAACUACGUGCCAGCAGCCGCGGUGACACGUAGGCAUCAAGCGUUAUCCGGAUUUAUUGGGCGUAAAGGGCGCGUAGGCGGCCCGAUAAGUCCAAGGUGAAAGCCCUCGGCUCAACCGAGGAACUGCCUUGGAUACUGUCGGGCUCGAGGCUGGAAGAGGGUGAUGGAAUUCCCGGUGUAGCGGAUGAAAUGCGUAGAUAUCGGGAGGAACACCGGUGGCGAAGGCGGUCACCUGGGCCAGUACUGACGCUGAGGCGCGAAAGCGUGGGGAGCAAACAGGAUUAGAUACCCUGGUAGUCCACGCCGUAAAACGAUGAGUGCUAGUCGUCGGCAGGCAUGCCUGUCGGUGACGCAGCUAACGCA